GGAGAAUAAAACCUGCAGCAUUUAAUCUUGUUUAUUUAUUUUAUUUUAAUUUCACACUCCAUCAGAGAACACUGAAAUGUUACAAAGAGAUGUGUCUGAUCCUACACGGAAAGAAAAAUAACAACCUCUAAAUCAACAGACAGAUGCUGGGAUCUGUGGCACAACUCACAUAUGGGAAGCAGGGCCACAGACACGUAGCACUUUGCUGGAAAAGACAAAGGACCUUUGCAAAGCUCUAAAGCAAAUCAAAUCUUUUUAAAUUUUUUUUUUUUACAAAUAACAACAGAGAAAAAUAAAAUAAUAAUUGGGCACCUUCUAAGAUUAGGCUAAGAUUAGGUGCUGAGGUAGACGAAAACUAUAUCAAAUUAAAUCAUAAUAAAAACACUAUUUUCUUAAUACCGAGCAACUUGACUGGCACUUGUGCUGUCACAACAAGGAAGAAGGAAACAAAGUCACAGACGAGCCAGAGAAAAAGACAGAGAGAAAAGCUUUGUUACAUAACUGUAACAUAAAAAGCUUUGUUACAUAACUGUAACAUAAAAAGCUUUGUUACGCUUGGUCCGACAGGGCAAUUGGUCCUCAGUGCUAAUAUAAAAAAGACAAUGUCUUGGUGCUUUUUUUACUCCAACAGUUUAGUCUAGACCUCAAUGGCACAUGCAUGGCAACACUGCAUGAAAUGGCUACUCGUUCUAUAACACCACACUGAAACACAGAGUGCCUACUCCAGGGAUGUCAUGAUGUCGUAUGGCUCAUCUUUUUUUAUCUCAAUCUAAAUGUACAUAAAAAAAUUAAAAAAGUACUUCACCAAAAAGUCGCAAUGUUAAUCUGGGGCAAUGCUGUGGGUUUGACAAACUGCCAAAGUGAAGAUUGUAAGGACUUUAACUGCUCAGCAAACCUGUUGCUGACAUCAAAAUAUUAUCCCCUGUACAUAUUAAAUUUUUUUUUACAGGUAUCAGUCUUCAAAACAGAUUGAAAAAGCACAAUGCAUACAAAUUCCAUGGCCCGUGAAUAUUUUAUCACCUUUGUGCUUUAUGCUGUCAAGCUCCGUAGUGUGAAUUUGUGAAAGUUUUUCUUCCUUGGUUUUGCGAGGCAAAUUAAUAUUUGGGUGUCAGUUACAUAUUAACAAUAAGAGAAUCAAAACCCUAACCUACUACCAAUUGUAGGCUAAUGCAGACACAUACAACAACUCUUUUUUUAAUUCUAAAUCAGAAAUCAGGUCAUCUCAAAAUCGCCAUGACAUCCCUAGAGUGCUGGAGACACCAUUUAUUAUCUUCUGAAAGUACAGAAACUAAGCAGAUACAGAUGGACAUCUUUGUUGAACAAUUUCCAUUUUAGGCACAAAGAUAUUACAGAAACAGAGUAACAUUGAGGGAAGAACUAUAUCAAUGCCAAUUUUUUUUUAACAUGUUGAGAGAAAAGUGGCAUAGAGCAUUGUUUUUUUUUUUUCAUUUUGUGUCUGAUGUGAUUAGUGCAUUUUUCACUAAAACAGGCACACAUUCUGCACACACAGAUACACACUUUCAUUUAUGCGCACACUCACACAAAAAAGUAUAAAACAUUCAGAGAACGCUGAUAGGAGUAUGGGACAGAAUACCUCAAGUUAUUUAAGUGUGAUGGUUUCAGGCUCUCUGGCCUGCCACUCUGAAUUGGUGACUGAAGUUAUUAUAGUGAAUGAAUAUUGAAUGAGGGAAAUCCCUCAGCUCACAGUGUUCAAGAAUACAAUGACAAGACAGCCAUGGGCUACUUCCACCAUGUUCAUGCCAUCCCUUCAUUUCUUUUAGUCACUUCAAGUACAAAAACUAAAUAUUGGCAAUACAAGUUGAUUGAAAAUUAUGACUGACAUGUACUAAUUCAGUGAUGGCAGCAUCCCUGCCAUCCAUUUUGUAAUUAUUUUAUUUUUUUCACACGCAACUUUGUGGCAGAUAGAUUUAGUCCUUCACCUACAAUGCAUUGACAUCCAGAAAGCAACACUUACAGUCACACACACACAUCCACCCACACACACACACACACACACACACAUCCAACAUUACCAAAGAGGAGCAAGGCAAAAGAUUCAAAACCAGAGAAAAAACUAGGUAAUAAACAAAAAAAUACAAAUAUUUGCCCUGCUGAAACCCUCGACAAAUGGAAAGGGACUGACACUGAAUACAAAAAUAUCACAAUUUUUAUAUAUCAAACAGCCUCUGUUGGUUCUUGUUCAGGAAUACACUCAUUUAGAGAGAACUCGACCAAGAGGAUCUCUUUUUUUCUAACCUUCCUUUAUUCUUUGAUACCACUUGCAGUCCCAAUUGUCCAACGCACACUGCAUCGCUGCAUAAAUGACCUGUUCUUGGCGGUUCAGCAUUGGUGAACCGUGUUUCUUUUUUCACAUUACAAAACUACAAUUCUAUACACCUAUUUUCAAGUUUAAUGCUUCUUUUUUUUUUUUUACUCUCCUAAAAGUACUAUUACUUCUUCUACUGUGUCUAUCCCUCUUCCCUCAUACUUAAGGCUUCAGAGUUUCGUCUCUGCUCUUAAGGUUGCUGUUGGGUGGGGCGAGGGCGAGGGGGGGGUUACUGUAAGAGCAGAAUAAACAUUUGUUUUAUUUGUCACUUUUCCUAUCAAUCUCUACCAUCUCUUACCCUUUAUAUAAAUGUUGCUUACACAUAUGAACAGACAUGAAACAGUCAACACUUGUAGCAUGAGAUGAAGUUGCAAUGAUGCAAUAAUGCAAAACACAAACAUACACAAAAUAAUGUUCUUUUGCAAAAAUUAAAACGAAAACAACAGAGGUAGCUUUUAGAACAA
Long non-coding RNA from Esox lucius (northern pike), 2790 nucleotides. The record is from Ensembl. NCBI's taxonomy places the organism in Eukaryota, Metazoa, Chordata, Actinopteri, Esociformes, Esocidae.